GAUGAAGAACGCAGCGAAAUGCGAUAAGUAAUGUGAAUUGCAGAAUUCAGUGAAUCAUCGAAUCUUUGAACGCACAUUGCGCCCGCCAGUAUUCUGGCGGGCAUGCCUGUUCGAGCGUCAUUUCAACCAUCAAGCCCCCGGCUUGUGUUGGGGACCUGCGGCUGCCGCAGGCCCUGAAAAGCAGUGGCGGGCUCGCUGUCACACCGAGCGUAGUAGAUUUCAUCUCGCUCAGGGCGUGCUGCGGGUUCCGGCCGUUAAACCACCUUCAUAACCCAAGGUUGACCUCGGAUCAGGUAGGAAGACCCGCUGAACUUAAGCAUAUCAAUAAGCGGAGA
Molecule: unclassified non-coding RNA, 335 nt
Filed under: soil metagenome
Description: partial contains 5.8S ribosomal RNA, internal transcribed spacer 2, and large subunit ribosomal RNA
Rfam family: 5.8S ribosomal RNA (bases 1-120)
Source: RNAcentral